AAUCAACGCUGGCGGCGUGCCUCAGACAUGCAAGUCGAACGCGAAAGUCCCCUUCGGGGGACAAGUAGAGUGGCGCACGGGUGAGUAACACGUAGGUAAUCUACCUUCGGAUGGGGAAUAACAACCGGAAACGGUUGCUAAUACCGCAUAAUGCAGCGGCACCUAAUGGUGACAGUUGUUAAAGCGGGGGAUCGAAAGACCCCGCGUCUGAAGAGGAGCCUGCGGCGGAUUAGCUAGUUGGAAGGUAAUGGCUUACCAAGGCGACGAUCCGUAGCCGGCCUGAGAGGGCGGUCGGCCACACUGACACUGACAUACGGGUCAGACUCCUACGGGAGGCAGCAGUCGGGAAUUUUGGGCAAUGGGCGAAAGCCUGACCCAGCAACGCCGCGUGAAGGAUGAAA
Molecule: ribosomal RNA, 401 nt
Filed under: uncultured bacterium
Lineage: Bacteria
Description: bacterial SSU rRNA
Rfam family: Bacterial small subunit ribosomal RNA
Source: RNAcentral